Molecule: long non-coding RNA, 1567 nt
Filed under: Macaca mulatta (Rhesus monkey)
Lineage: Eukaryota; Metazoa; Chordata; Mammalia; Primates; Cercopithecidae
Description: lncRNA (ENSMMUG00000061042.1)
Source: RNAcentral
UGCACUGCAAACAUUUUAUGUAAUAGAAUAGGAUAUCACAAUGUGUGUAGGUUAAAGUGGGCUUAGUUCAUGAAACUCCAGGAGGUGGUUGGGGACACCUGGUGAGUUGUGAAACCAGCUGGGGACAUGCUGGCCCAGACCCCCAGGUGUUCUUGAAGAAGCAUUUGGCUUCAGGAAAGAGAAGGUAGUUGCUGUUAAUCCUGAGAGAGCCUUAAAAGAUAAUCGUGGCUUCACAACAAAGAAGAAAUGAACAAAUUUGCCUCUUGUCUACCCCUUUCAGAAUCACCAUGAGAACAGCUGGGACUCAUUGACCAAUGGCAGCUGGAUGACCCGCAGUCGCCAUCCACUGAAUCCUUCCAGAAACACCUGCACGUGGAGGGAGGUAUUGCUGUCUCCCCAUUUUGCAGGCUGGCCUAAUGGGAAGGUUGACCUGAUUUCCACUCUCCUACCGAAAAGUGACAAUGCAGCUGCCGGGCCAAGGAGGGACGUUGUGUGACCAGUUCAGAGGCAGGAGUUCACGCGGCUGCAGUGACCCUCUGCAAAAGGAAGCAACUGGACAUUUCCUCUACACAUUGUCUCUUUUGAAAAGUUCCAAGCAGAUGCUCGCCCACCCACCAAGGCUGAGGCCGAAGAAAAUUCUGCGAUGACAAGGCUCUGCAGGUGCCGUACAGAGCGAGUACUUUUCAGGCAGCUGGCGGAGCCCAGAGCAAGCUUCCCCCGGAGCAUCCAAAGGGGCCACUUGGCUGCGGUCGCCAUUGUGAGAACAACAGGAAACUGAGCAGGGGCUGCGCUCGUCCUGGGCAGGACAACUCUCCAUUUCCCUUCAGGCCUGGCAUUGUUUUGCUGAUGGAAGAAAAGUGGAAUGGGGCGUGAUCACACUGCCGGCUCAGCAGCUGGAAAGCUCGUGUUGGCUUAAAUGUGCACAAGGUGAGGUCCCUCUCUGCCACUGAUCCCCACCUCCUCUCACCACAGGGUGUUUUCUGAUCACCAAAUGUAUGUUGGUUAGAAGACUUGGCAGUUCUCUGACCCCAGAGGUAGAGCUAGAAGUUGACACAGAGUCCCAAGUGGCAACUCCGUCUAUGCUGUCUGUUGGUGAUGAUGGGCCGGGCGUCCCAGGAGGAAGAGGACUUCCCAAGAUCCCUUUCUGAGACGGGAUGGUGCAGAAGAGACACUGGCUAGGAGAAGGAGGGUUGCGGGGGCUCCAGGGCUCCUCUGCUCCUGAGUGUCAGUGGAGGGUGGGCAUUGACCAGACCUAAGAGUCUUUGAAGCAAGGUCAUGGGCAACCAUGACUGCAUUCCAAGAGGCCCAAAAGAUGGAAGGCCCAGGAGACCCCCAAGAAUGAAUGUGUGAUGAGCAGCCAGGCCCUGAUCACCCAAGUCCCGGCUUUCAGAGGGGAGGGGUGGGGCGCAUAAUAUUUAUCAGAAUUGUCAUUAGAUUAGAGCACUAGUUUUGCAAGCUCCAUAAGGUUAACAAUCUCUGGGGAGCUUUCUAUAAAAUACUACUUCCCCCUCCCAACUCCAAGGUUCUGAACCAGUCAGUCUGGAACUGCAUUUUAACAAUAUCCUGU